GUGGCCUACGGGACGCAGCAGUCGAGAAUCAUUCACAAUGGGGGAAACCCUGAUGCAGCAACGCCGCGUGAGUGAAGAAGGUUUUCGGAUUGUAAAGCUCUGUUAGCAGGGAAGAGGAAGGACGGUACCUGCAGAGGAAGCCACGGCUAACUACGUGCCAGCAGCCGCGGUAAUACGUAGGUGGCAAGCGUUGUUCGGAAUAACUGGGCGUAAAGGAUGCGUAGGCGGUUAAACAAGUUAUAUGUUAAAUAUAUAGGCUUAACCUGUAGAAAGCAUAUAAAACUGUUUAACUAGA
RNAcentral lists this ribosomal RNA (295 nucleotides) under uncultured bacterium. Its description in RNAcentral is "partial 16S ribosomal RNA". It matches the Rfam family "Bacterial small subunit ribosomal RNA", at positions 334 to 645 of the family's 1533-position model. The record is from RNAcentral.